This 423-nucleotide ribosomal RNA is filed under the name uncultured bacterium. Its description in RNAcentral is "bacterial SSU rRNA". It matches the Rfam family "Bacterial small subunit ribosomal RNA", at positions 207 to 622 of the family's 1533-position model. The record is from RNAcentral.
AAGACCUUGCACUUUUGGAGCGGCCGAUGUCUGAUUAGCUAGUUGGUGGGGUAAUGGCCUACCAAAGCUUCGAUCAGUAGCUGGUCUGAGAGGACGGCCAGCCACACUGGGACUGAGACACGGCCCAGACUCCUACGGGAGGCAGCAGUGGGGAAUUUUGGACAAUGGGCGCAAGCCUGAUCCAGCCAUGCCGCGUGAGUGAAGAAGGCCUUCGGGUUGUAAAGCUCUUUCAGCCGGGAAGAAAAGGUUGCGACUAAUAAUCGCAAUUCAUGACGGUACCGAAAGAAGAAGCACCGGCUAACUACGUGCCAGCAGCCGCGGUAAUACGUAGGGUGCGAGCGUUAAUCGGAAUUACUGGGCGUAAAGGGUGCGCAGGCGGUUUUGUAAGUCAGAUGUGAAAUCCCCGGGCUUAACCUGGGAACU